RNAcentral lists this ribosomal RNA (725 nucleotides) under uncultured bacterium. RNAcentral's name for it is "bacterial SSU rRNA". It matches the Rfam family "Bacterial small subunit ribosomal RNA", at positions 728 to 1452 of the family's 1533-position model. The record is from RNAcentral.
UNUGGUCUGUCACCGACGCUGAGGCUCGAAAGCGUGGGUAGCGAACAGGAUUAGAUACCCUGGUAGUNCACGCCGUAAACGAUGAGUGCUAGGUGUUAGGCCCUUUCCGGGGCUUAGUGCCGGAGCUAACGCAAUAAGCACUCCGCCUGGGGAGUACGACCGCAAGGUUGAAACUCAAAGGAAUUGACGGGGGCCCGCACAAGCGGUGGAGCAUGUGGUUUAAUUCGAAGCAACGCGAAGAACCUUACCAGGUCUUGACAUCCCGAUGCUAUUCUUAGAGAUAGGAAGUUACUUCGGUACAUCGGAGACAGGUGGUGCAUGGUUGUCGUCAGCUCGUGUCGUGAGAUGUUGGGUUAAGUCCCGCAACGAGCGCAACCCUUAUUGUUAGUUGCCAUCAUUAAGUUGGGCACUCUAGCGAGACUGCCGGUAAUAAACCGGAGGAAGGUGGGGAUGACGUCAAAUCAUCAUGCCCCUUAUGACCUGGGCUACACACGUGCUACAAUGGUCGGUACAACGAGUUGCGAGCCGGUGACGGCAAGCUAAUCUCUGAAAGCCGAUCUCAGUUCGGAUUGGAGGCUGCAACUCGCCUCCAUGAAGUCGGAAUCGCUAGUAAUCGCGGAUCAGCACGCCGCGGUGAAUACGUUCCCGGGCCUUGUACACACCGCCCGUCACACCACGAGAGUUUGUAACACCCGAAGUCGGUGAGGUAACCUUUUAGGGGCCAG